Molecule: long non-coding RNA, 357 nt
Organism: Lemur catta (Ring-tailed lemur)
Lineage: Eukaryota; Metazoa; Chordata; Mammalia; Primates; Lemuridae
Exons: 2
Source: RefSeq, a predicted model, not a curated record
GGCUUCAAGUGAUCCUGCCCCCACCUCAGCCUCCUGAGCAGCUGGGACUACAAGGCACAAGUCACCACACCUGGCAACCACACUUUCCUUUGGAGAACUCAUUCCAUGUGGUUCAGGUGGAGAAGCUCUGCCUUCCUCUUACAUAACAAGUUCCAAGGAUGGUUUGGAGCUGCUUGCAGCCAUCUUCUCCAGUGGUACAGGGCACAGAAGCAGCUGUCAUCAGCUGAAGGAAAUGAAGCCAAUAUGCAAAGAGAAAGAGCAGAGAGAUGGAAAGCUAAAGGCAACCUUAAACACAUCUUUGAGCCUCUGGAUCCAUCUCUUCUCAGGAGACAAUAAAUUCCCAUUUUGUUUAUGUUC